AAUUGCUCGGGCAUUCAACCAGGCUACGUGUAUGCGGAAAUUCCUUGUUACCAUCUUGUCGCUAGAUGAUGGGCGAGCACGAAAGAAAAGAGCAAGUAAUUGCUCCCCUGUGCAGCUGUAGAAACUGUAAUUGCUGGACCUGUUUGUGGUGAUAGUUUCCUGAUUCAAGAGUCUUCUUUUAGGCCCAUCAUUGUUAUAAAUGCCAUUAGAAAUUAUAGGUUUUAGCAUAAUUCGUACAAAGAACAACUCUAAUCAUUUUAAUGGCUUUCUGGGAUUCGGCUAGAACAUACCAGUAACUCAAAUGUAAUGCAUUA
Molecule: unclassified non-coding RNA, 314 nt
Filed under: Hevea brasiliensis (rubber tree)
Lineage: Eukaryota; Viridiplantae; Streptophyta; Magnoliopsida; Malpighiales; Euphorbiaceae
Source: RNAcentral